RNAcentral lists this long non-coding RNA (1331 nucleotides) under Ananas comosus (pineapple). Its description in RNAcentral is "long non-coding RNA (ACOM_LNC015428)". Lineage: Eukaryota; Viridiplantae; Streptophyta; Magnoliopsida; Poales; Bromeliaceae. The record is from RNAcentral.
CUUUUUUUUUUGAGUUAAUUUCAUACAUACGGUUUUCUGCAAUUAUAGUGAAUUGCGUACAAAUAUAUUUCUAUAAAAUUCAACUUUUAUAUGUUGUCCCUGUAAAAACACUGAUGUUUUCAACUAUGUCCUUACUGUUAAGACCCGUUAGAAAAAAUUAGUUAACCAUAGAUAAAAUACUCAACCAUAGUUAGUUAAUAAGGUGAAUUGAUCUUUUUGCCCCUCUUCGAUUAAGAGUUGAGACUUUUGAUGGGGCAUAUUUGUGAUGACAAAAAGAUUAUUUCACUUAUAAAAUAAAUAGUAAUUUAAUGGUAACAAGCCAGAGGGACAUAUUUAAAAAUAUUAGGACUUUUGCAGGAACAAUGUAUGAAAGUUUAACUUUAUAGGAAUAUAUUUCCAAUUUACUAUUUAUUUUAUAAGUGAAAUAAUCUUUUUAAUGGUAACAAGCCAGAGGGACAUAUUUAAAAAUAUUAGGACUUUUGCAGGAACAAUGUAUGAAAGUUUAACUUUAUAGGAAUAUAUUUCCAAUUUACUAUAUUUGUAGGGAUCUGUAUGAAAUUAACCUCUCUUUAUUUUUUUGGCUCUUUGUUGCCUAAAUUUAGAAAAGCCAAAUUUACAUCUUAUGAUUUAACAAAUCACUUAAAGGGAUAAUGGGAGGUGGCAGAGCAUUGUAGUUUGCAUGUUUGAGGAUAUUUUCUCAAUGUGUGAUGUUGUAUUUGUGAUAUUGGGCGUUUUUUUGUGAUUUAAAGUUUUAUCAAAUAAUGGCUGGGAUAGCCAGCAGUGUCUCGAUUGUGGACGUUCGAGAUCGCUGGAACUCUCUAUCUCUUAUCCCGGAUGCCAUCGCAAGAGCUAAAGAAUUAACCAAGCUAGCGGCUACCUGGUGGGUUGUCUGGACCGAGCGAAACAGCUUUGUCUUCUCUUCGACUCUACCGAACGUUGUUAGAGCCUUGGAUAGAGGCUCAUCCCUGUCCAACUCCUGGAUCUCGCUCCUGUAAUCGUGCAACGUUGCCUUUUACUGUCUUCCCCCUCUCUCCCCCUGACUCCUCUUCUCGUCUUUGCUUUGUCUCUUUAUUUCCUUUUAUGUACCUCCCCUAUGUUCUUUCUAAAGGAAGCCUAAGCUGCUUCCACCUUGUACGCUUAGUUCAUUGCUCUUACUGAAUGAAGCAGGUAGCGUGCUACCUUUUUCUCAAAAAAAAAGUUUUAUCAAAUAAGGUAGUUUGUUUAUUGUCAUAUUUAGUAUCUUUUGUAAUUUGAAAUUUUAUUCAGUUUGAAAAUUUUCUAAAGCUUUGGGAAAGGUCAGAUUAAGCAGAUUGGCAUUAAAAUUGACUCAU